GAUGAACGCUAGCGGCAGGCUUAAUACAUGCAAGUCGAACGGUAACAGGUCCAGCAAUGGAUGCUGACGAGUGGCGUACGGGUGCGUAACACGUGUGCAACUUACCUUUAACAGGAGAAUAGCUCCGAGAAAUUGGAAUUAAUACUCCAUAACAUUAUGAAACGGCAUCGUUUUAUAAUUAAAGCUCCGGUGGUUAAAGAUGGGCACGCGAAACAUUAGCUGGUUGGAGAGGUAACGGCUCACCAAGGCUACGAUGUUUAGGGGUUCUGAGAGGAUUAACCCCCACACUGGUACUGAGACACGGACCAGACUCCUACGGGUGGCAG
Molecule: ribosomal RNA, 326 nt
Filed under: uncultured Bacteroidota bacterium
Lineage: Bacteria; Pseudomonadati; Bacteroidota
Description: bacterial SSU rRNA
Rfam family: Bacterial small subunit ribosomal RNA
Source: RNAcentral